AUUCACCUCGACUUCGUCUCGGUGAAUAUUCACCGAUAAUCACUUCGCCUUCGGCGAAUAAUUGUUAAAUGUUUAAUGAUGAUUGGCUAACAGAGUACGCACGUGUUGUAUAUCAUAAAUUACGUCGGCCACAAUCUCAAACAAAUGUAAACAUGCAGGCGUGGAUGGACCUAAAUUUGAUCGUAAUGCCUCAAAGAAAGGCGUGUAAAAGGUAAAUUUUUAAUGUUUGGUAUAUAUUUUUGGUAG
Non-coding RNA from Paramuricea clavata, 246 nucleotides. Lineage: Eukaryota; Metazoa; Cnidaria; Anthozoa; Malacalcyonacea; Plexauridae. The record is from the annotation of a GenBank genome assembly.